Long non-coding RNA from Lingula anatina, 2273 nucleotides. RefSeq lists it as uncharacterized. The record is from RefSeq and is a predicted model, not a curated record. NCBI's taxonomy places the organism in Eukaryota, Metazoa, Brachiopoda, Lingulata, Lingulida, Lingulidae.
GACCAAGGUCAGAAGAAGAUGGAGAAGACAGAGAUUCUUGAGAAGGAACGCACUUGCCAAUGAGGAAGUGAGAGGCUUAUUGCAGCUGUCCAAAGGUCUGAACAAGUCCUCGACAAAUAAGACGACUGGACAGUGGCUCCCAACUGCUGUUUACCGGGUGAUUGGAUGCGUCGCCGAUCAAAGACAUCAGAUUCAUGUUAAACAUCGUCUGCGCCCAUGCCAAGAUUGUCUCGCUUGUUGAAGUUUGUCUUGUAGUUUAUUUGCAGGGUUGACAUUUAAUAUCAAAUGUAAUCUUUGCCUUGGAUAGUAAUAUUCUGCAUAAAAUGUCACACAUUGUGUAUAAAAAUAAUUGUACGCAAAGAAAUGAAUGGCGUCGACCCUGCAUGUCGCUGGUUAUAUAUGAUACAUUCUUUCUAAAUCGUAGUACACCACUCUAUCCGCUCAUAUCGUUUCAAGGUAUUUUAUAUAUUAUGUAUAUUUAUUAUUGUGUCGGAAGGAAGUACCCAUCAAUUGUCAAACAAAAAUACGGCACUUUUUGGAGUUCACCUUUAACAAAAUAGUUUUAAUGCAAAAAGUAUUUUGCUGAAAUGAUAGAUGAAAACAAAAAUGAUAGUUAUCAAAUAUUAUUAUUAUUAUUAAAUUAUUAUUCGAUUUUUAGAUAGAGUACUGCGCGAGCACUAUUGAUUUUCUAGUUGAAGGUAAAAAUUGUCUGUGGGCAGAUAUUUUAGAUAUUUAUUUUGAAUUAAAUUGAAUUGAAUUGAAUUCUGAGAUUCCGAUAAGAAAAUAUCUCAACUUUAUUAAUGAAACUUUUGAGAGACCAACGGUUUCAUACAGUGACCGUUAAGUUUGAUAAAAGAACAAGUUGUUAAUUUAAAAUAAGUUACAAACACUGUUCUUUCAAGUUAUAAAGCUUUGGAAAUUAUAGCGUUAUGAAAAUGAUAAAAUUUGUCCACGUGAUUCCAGAAUUGCCCAUGUAUAAGAAACGAUCCUUUUUUAAAUUGUGGAUGUACGUUUGUGACGCAUGUUAAGAAUGAACUUACUUUGGUUUCUGUGUUUUGAUAUCGUGUCUGAUCAGUGACAGAUACACAUUUACUGUGCGGGGAGGGGUCUAAAACAAUGUUAAGAAAAUGAAACCAGGAGAGAAAUAGGGAUUUUCACGAAAUUACUGCGCAUUCGUUAUUGCAGUAAGGGAAUACAUGUUACCCUCGUGAUAAAAACUGCCCGUUCUGAGGGCCACCCAAAUUUAUCAGCAUUGCAUAAGCUCCUUUGUGUGUUGUUCGACUUUUUGCCGAUAUCGCAAAGCAGGAAUGUAAGUGCUCUCCUGAAAAAACUUUGUUCAUAUGCAUAAAAAUUAUCUAUUAUUAAUUAAUAUGUCUUUGGUUGUGAUUGAGGGGUGAUUGAGAGAAAAAGGUCCGAUUAGAUGCCAGUCUCGCGCGUCCUGUUGGGGUAUUUUUGCUAAGUGUUUCUUGGUCACUGAGCACCGGAGACCAAAGUAAAAGUCACCGUUUUUCUUUCUGCGUAAUCUUUUCAGUUUUGUUUGUAUAUUUUUUCUUAAAUUGUCAUGACUAGAAUAAGCUUGGAAAUUGACCAUGUCUUUAUGCCGUUCCUGAUUCGCAUGAGUGCAAAUUUAAGUUUUCGCUCAAAUUCGUGCCAUUAACAAAUAUUAAGGAUGUAAUGAAAUGAAAACAAAAUAACGGAAAACACUCGAUUCUUAAAAAUGACUAUUUUUGUCUACCUUUUUCUGUGCGAGAAUCAGCAUGACGGCAUAGAACAAGGUGUGCGUGAGUGCGAGUGCACGUGAGGGGAAGACGCCUAUGUGAGAUUAUAUGCAUUUAGGAAUUUCGAUAUCAUUCACAGCACUGAAAUUUGACACUUUGCUCCUCAAUGGAAUUAGUAAUCAAUUAUUAACGUCAACUUUGAACAAAAUUUGACAAGUACGAUAUGAUUUCAUUUUAUAUACCACUCCUGGUCAUUUUUUUGUAUGAAUUUUGUUUUAGUAAGAAUUAUGUCGAAAUUCUCUUUUAUAUAAAUAAAUAGAAUUUGUUUGAGCUGCAAUUUCCAAAGUGCAUAAAAUCCUUCAUAUGUGUUAGUUAGUCUACUAUCAGGUAGACUUCUUGUAUUGUUUUUGUAAAAGCAUAAUUUAAAGAAUUUUUUAGAAAUUUGACACUAUUGUAAUGGUUGCUAUCAACGUAGAAAAAACGUAACUUCAUGUAUUCAUGUAUAAAACUUCGUUGAAAUUACUUGGAAUUUGUUGAAACAAUAAAUAAUAAAAA